CAGUAGCCGCGGUAAUACGUAGGGUGCAAGCGUUAAUCGGAAUUACUGGGCGUAAAGCGUGCGCAGGCGGUUAUAUAAGACAGAUGUGAAAUCCCCGGGCUCAACCUGGGAACUGCAUUUGUGACUGUAUAGCUAGAGUACGGCAGAGGGGGAUGGAAUUCCGCGUGUAGCAGUUAAAUGCGUAGAUAUGCGGAGGAACACCGAUGGCGAAGGCAAUCCCCUGGGCCUGUACUGACGCUCAUGCACGAAAGCGUGGGGAGCAAACAGGAUUAGAUACCCCGGUAGUCCCUGUCUCUUAUAC
RNAcentral lists this ribosomal RNA (301 nucleotides) under uncultured bacterium. Its description in RNAcentral is "partial 16S ribosomal RNA". It matches the Rfam family "Bacterial small subunit ribosomal RNA", at positions 509 to 807 of the family's 1533-position model. The record is from RNAcentral.